AUUGAACGCUGGCGGCAGGCCUAACACAUGCAAGUCGAACGGUAACACGAAGCAGCUUGCUGCUUCGCUGACGAGUGGCGUACGGGUGUGUAAAGUCUGGGAAACUGCCUGAUGGCGGGGGAUAACUACUGGAAACGGUAGCUCAUACCGCUUAACGUCGCAAGAGCAAAGAGGGGGACCUUAGGGCCUCUUGCUAUCUGUUGUGCCCAGAUGGGAUUAGCUAGUAGGUGGGGGAACGGCUCACCCAGGCGACGACACCUAGCUGGUCUGAGAGGAUGACCAGCCACACUGGAACUGAGACACGGUCCAGACUCCUACGGGAGGCAGAAGUGGGGAAUAUUGCACAAUGGGAGCAAGCCUGAUGCAGCCAUACCGCGUGUAUGAAGAAGGCCUUCGGGUUGUAAAGUACUAUCGGCGGGGAGGAAGAGGGUAAGGUUAAUACCUUAGCUCAUUGACGGUACCCGCAGAAGAAGCACCGGCUAACUCCGUG
Molecule: ribosomal RNA, 490 nt
Filed under: uncultured bacterium
Lineage: Bacteria
Description: partial 16S ribosomal RNA
Rfam family: Bacterial small subunit ribosomal RNA
Source: RNAcentral